This 527-nucleotide long non-coding RNA is filed under the name Balaenoptera musculus (blue whale). RNAcentral describes it as "lncRNA (ENSBMSG00010021713.1)". Lineage: Eukaryota; Metazoa; Chordata; Mammalia; Artiodactyla; Balaenopteridae. The record is from RNAcentral.
GGGUAGGGCUGGCUGAGAAUUGGAAGCUCCGGGCCUAGGAGGGAAGAGGGAGUUGGGAACCCGGCAGAGGAGGGCCGGGGCGGAAAUCGUGAAUCUCUGCCGAGGGAGGCCGGGCUAAGAAGGGCUGAAGCCGUGCGGAGGGACUUCGGGCAGGAGAGAGCCCAGGAGCCAAUGUGACACUGCAGAACAUGUCUACACUUGAAAUGACACAGAUGUUCCCAGAGGGUCCUAGAUGGGGAGGUAAAGUUGGCCAAGACAUGGGAGCUGCAAAGCAAGUAGAAGGAAAUGCGCAGCAACAUAACCCACAAAGAAUGGGAGAAAGAAGAGGACAGCAGCUACAGAUAGACACCAUUCUGCCUCAUAAAGCUAGCUAAGAGAAUCUGACCCGCUUAAGUAACAAAUUGAAAAUAUUAACAAAAAAUCAAUCUUGUUCGCUGUCUAACCCAGACUUUUAUGCUGGGUUAUUUGUAACUAUGCAUAUUUAUAACUACUAACAUCUAAUUCUGUUAUCUGAAAUUAUAAACUCA